GCACAAACUGUCAUGGCUGCACUCCUUCCUCAUCCUCAGGCUGUUGGGAGCUAAUCAGGUGAUGAGGGACACCUGUUUACCUCCCUUCAUUAGGAGCUGCUGCCCUCCACUCUCUGUCAGUUUGUCACAAGCCUUCCAUGGAGCAACAACCUUGUUCAUGUGAACCAUUUUUGCUGACCUGUGAAUCUGUCUCUAAAAAACCCCUGCACUGCACUGGAACUUUUAAAACUACGAGUCUUGCCCCAGCACCUGUACCUCCUGCCGUUUCCUCUUCCUACCUGGACAGCCUGAAGGACAUCCUCCUGCACCACCCUCAACGUCAGCCCUCUGCUGUGCACUCCCUCCAUCUCCUCGUUGGCCCCCUCUGUUGAUCUUUGUUCAUGACCUUUCACCACCAAUGCCUGAGCGCCCCCCGCUGACUGAAGGCUGUCUCUCCCGAGUUCCUGGUCCUGCCUGAGCCAAAUAAACACUUUAAAUACUUAC
Oryzias melastigma (Indian medaka) is the source of this 483-nucleotide long non-coding RNA. RefSeq lists it as uncharacterized. The record is from RefSeq and is a predicted model, not a curated record. NCBI's taxonomy places the organism in Eukaryota, Metazoa, Chordata, Actinopteri, Beloniformes, Adrianichthyidae. The transcript is spliced from 2 exons.